CUCCUCUGAAACUAAGGAAGACAUCAUAUUUAAUUCCUUGUGGCUGGGCGGUGGUUAAGGUGGAAGGAGUAGAUGGUGAUGGAGACAUCAUAUUGUUUUGUGGAGAAACAGUCGAAGAAACAAGAGUAGAUGGCGAUGGAGAAACAUGGCGGCUUCGUAUGAUCAAUCUCCAGAUAUAAACAAACAAAAAGAUAUUGAGAAACAAUAAAAAUACCACCAUUGUUUUGUGGAGAAACAAGAGUAGGACUCUGGUGGUAAGGUAGGUCUGGAGGGAGAGAGCGGAAGUAACUCAAGGAAAAAAGAUGAGGCUGAUUUUGAAUCAGUAGCUUAGGCUUUACGUGUUUAAGACCCUGCCUUAGGCAUAUGUAUCAUUUAUAGGCAUCAAAUCCAAGAAUUUUCUUAGAACAUUACAAGAUUGCACAUUGUUGAUUUCCUAGAAAUUCCCCAGUUACAAAGUGAUGUGAUAGGAAAAGGCAUUUAUACUUUGUUUUGUUUUUAUGGUAUUCACAGUAUUUUUAUAAAUUUUGAUUUUUUUUAAUUAAUUUUUUUAGUUUUUAUUUUAUUUUAAUUUACUGAUAUAAAAAUAAUUUUUAAAAAUCAAAAGCAUAUAUAUUCUUGUUCAUCAUAUCACAGCUGUGAUAGAUGCCUUUUUUAAUAUUUCAAAUGUAUUAGCUAUUCACUUCGCGGAGUAGCAGAUCUUUUGUUAUUUUUUCUUCAACUUUUUUAUUUUAUAUUUUCUUUAAACAGUAAACACUUCUGUCCCACAUCAUUCUUUAAGGACAUUAACUAGUAUAUCGGCAUACAAUUCACAACAGGGUUAAUAUUAAUUUUUUAAAAAUUAGAAAAUAUUACAAGUGUUUAGCAAUAUCUAAAUGUUCCUGGAAAUUAUUUCUUGUAUUUGUUUUCUAAGGAACGGUUGCUUUGAUAUAUUUUUUUCAAAAUAAAAAUAACAUUUUGAUGUAUUUUUUCAAAAAUAUAUUUUAAAAAACAACUGUUACUGCACUCCUAAACACCCUCCUAAAAAAAAGUAUGUGAAAAAAAAACAUUAUAGCAAUUCACAAUAAUUUACGAAGAAAAUUAUAGUGCUUCCCCACAUGAUUUAGCCAUAUUUAUAAUUACUUGUAAUUGUAAUUAUCAAACAACUUAAUAUUAAAAAAAUAAAAUUGACAAAGAUAAUAUUAAAAAAAUUAUAAGAAAGAAAAACCAUGUGGAGAGACAUUGUAACAAUCCACGAUAUUUUGUGAGGAAAGAUACAGUGAUUUCCCACAUGAUUAAGGUUUAUUACAAAGUUAAAUUAUAACCAACUUAAUAUGAAGAAAAAAAAAUUAACGAAGAUAAUUUUGGAAAAAAAAUAUUACAAAAAAAAAAAGAAAACACAAAAGAAAUUGGAAAAAAAAAUAUGAGGAAAAACUGUAUCAAUCUAUAGUGUUUUGUGAGGAAAAACUUGUAUUUACUUGUAAUUGCAAGUCUUAACCAGCUUAAUAUUUAAAAAAUAAAAUUAACAAAGAUAAUUUUAGGGAAAAAAUAACAAAACGGAAAAAAACUAUAUGAAAUAAAACAUUGUAGCAAUCCAUAGUAAUUUGCGAAGAAAGUUAUAGUGUUUUCCUCCCAUAUUGUAACUGUAAUUUUUAACCAGCUCAAUAUUAAAAAAUAAAAUAAAAUAAAAAAAGAUAAUUUCAGAGAAAAUAAAAAAAAACAUAUGGAGAAACACUAGCAAUUAAUAAUGUUUUAAAGAAAAAAAUUACAAAACUAAAUUUUUAAUCAGCUUAAUAUUAAAAAAAUAAAAAUAUAUAAUUUUAAAAAACAAAAUAAAAAACUAUGUAAAAAAACACCACAUCAAUUCAAAAUAUUUUAAAAAAUGAAAUUUAAAGUGAAAUUUUUAAUCAGUUAAAUAUUAAAAAAAUAGAAUUAAUUCAAAAUUACACACAAUCUAUUCAAAUAAACCGGUAGAUGCCUUUUCCUUUUUCCUUUUAUAUAUAUUUAUUUAUUGUGAAGAAGAAGAAGAAAAAGAAGUCGUCUUGAAGGAGAGACGAAGGGACUGGGGAUCGAUGGGGCCAAUCCUCUGGGACGACGACUUGACCUUAAGUACUCUUCCUGGUGAGUGCUAGGGCAGCGUGUUCGGGAAGCUGAGUUUGGAAAUUACGUGUUUGUUUUUACAUGCUUCUUUCCAGCUCAUUACACACAAUCUAUCCAAAUAAAUCGGCAGAUGCCUUUUUCUUUUUCCUUUUAAAGGGAUCAUCGGCCGUCGGUGUUGUUGGAACAUAAACAAUCGAACAUUGGAAGAAAUAAAUAAUUUCCCCAUGCUUAAAUUAAGGCUACUAUUCUUUUGAACUCCGGCCAAACAUGACAGGGCUUUAGUAAAAUGCCUUUUUUCUUCUUCUUCCUCUGUCUUUUGCAGAAAAGAUUGAGAAGUUUAUACACACACCUAUAUACACCUAUAUACGUAUAUAGGUGUGUGUGUAAAUAUAUAUAAGGAAAAAGGAAAAAGGUAUAUAUUGGUGUGUGUGUGUGUAUAAAAGGAAAAAGGAAAAGGCACAUGGCAACUUUAUUAUAAUUAAUGGAUCGAGUAAAAUGUACAAGUUUCUUCGUAUAAUUUUAUUUUUUUCAAAUAGAAUAUUAAUUCGGAACUAAAAACAAUUAAAAAUUUCCAAAAUAUCCAUUUUAAACUGGGAUGAACCCCAGAAAAUAUUCGACUUUUAUCCAUAGUUUUAAAACCCGACCUGGUGGUCGACCCGGUCUUAUGACCGGGUCACGGGUCAGAUGGGUUGACCCGGGCUGACCCGGGUCAACCCAAAAAAAUCUAAUAAAAACUUCAAUAAAUACAAUUCCCCUCUUAUCCCUCUUUCUCAUCAAUCCACUUUUCAACUUUCAAAUUGCUUUCCAGCUUUCAAUCCACUUUCCAGCUUUUCAAUCGCAAAUAAACGUUCUUUUUUAAUCACCAGCAAAUAGGCAUUCUCUUUAAAUUGAGAAUUGAGAACACAUGGGCAUCAGAACAGAAAACAACAACAAUCAUGCAUCAACGACAACGCUGAUAUUCACGCACAAAACUUUGAAGAGGGGCUUUUCAAAUCAUGUCUUGAUGCAGGAUCUGAUCAAAAUCGGGUAUGCUGUCUUCAAUGGAAUCUACAUGAACGAGCAGGGAUCACUAAAAAGAGGAUGUCGUGUUUGGGGUGGAGGUGUAUUACGGGCAGUCGGGCAUAGGAGCUAUGCGAUUGAAAUUGCUUUUUCUUGUUAUCUUUAUCUGCAAUUUUGCAUCCUUCAUCCUUUAUCUGCAUAGUUUUGACUUUAAAUGGCCAAAACGAACGACGUCGUUUCGGACUCUGUAUGUAUAAAAAAACAAAGAGGCCGGGUCUCAGUCGGGUUUGUCCGGGUCGCCGGGUUCCGGGGGUCGACCGGGUUUCACCGGGCCAAUUCCUCGGCGGGUUUUUACUUAGACCCGGACCGGUCCUAGGCCCGGGUCGGCCGGGUCCCGGGUCGACCCGCCGGGCCGGUCCGGGUUUCAAAACUAUGCUUUUAUCCCCCCCUGCUGUCUAAUGUAAAAGACGGGUGUUUUUUUUCACUUGUCACGCUCCCCUGCAUCACCGGCUCAUGGAGGUAAAAAUCUUACGUCACAGCGACAUCAUCUUGUCCCCUGCAUUUUGUCCUCAGCUGGAAGACACGUGCAAAAAAGAGAGAGGUGAUCUAAAGUCAUUGUUGCGGACAAGCAGCAACCAGGAAGCAAUCCACUUGCCCCGGUGUCGUUUCACAAACAGUCAGUCAAAUUCACAGUCAAGGCAGAUGAUAAGGCUUUUGUAAAAUUUUGAGGUGGAUGGCAAUGAUGAUGUCUCAGACUUCAGAAAAUACAACAUUAAAAGAAGCAAAAACCUUAUCAUGAAAUUCGUUUUCCGGCCCUGAAUAAUAAUCAACAGUCAUGGCAUUGUUGAUCAUCGAAAGCCACCGUUAAGAUAAGAAAUGCGUAAUUUCAAGGAAAUAGAUUGCAGUCAAUCCAAGAGGUGGCAAGAAAAAGAGACCCAUCCAGUCAAAUUUUGCUUCCUUCCAGCUCCUUCCUGAAUAAUAAUAUAUUUUUUAAUAUUUAUAUGUAUUAAUGUUAAAAAUAAUUUUAAAAAAAUAAAAAAUAUUAUAUUUUUUUUAAUAAGAAAAACAAGAACUCCCUAUUACACUUACAGAAGAAACAUUCCAUGUAUUCAAUCCAAGUGUUUGCGCGUGUCGAGGACUUUUUUUGCCUCUCAAUAAUUAGUGUUAUUUGUAUUAUAACUUUUUUAAUAUUUCAAAUGGAUGAGCUUUUCCCUUGACUUGGCGUAUUAGCAGCUUUAGGAUCUUUUGUUAUUUUCUCUUCCUUUUUUAUUAUAUAUUUUCUUCACACAGUAUAUCGGCCUGCGAUUCACAUAUUCAGUUAAUAUUAAUCUUUUUAAAAUUAAAAUAGCAGAAGAACUUAUUAGAAAAUCUGUUUAAUAUUGUGGUAAUUAUUUUUUAAAAAAUAUUUUUUAAAAAAAAAAUACAUUAUAUUAAAAUAAUAUAUUUUUAUUUUUAAAAUUUUAUUUUUGACAUUAACACAUCAAAAUAAUAUAAAAAUAAAAAAUAAUAAUUUAAAAUAAAAAAAAUAAAAAAACUCAAAUCCAAAUAUUUUCUUACUACAUUACAGAUGGUUCACAUUUUCCUAGAAAUUUUCAUUAACCACAAAAAGCUUCAUGUCUUGUUAUUAUUAUUAUUAUUUUGUAAUUUGGUAGGGAAGGGCUUCAAGCCUUCCAUCCAAGUGUUUGCGCGUAAACUUUGUUGAGUUUCACAUUAUAUUAUAAUGGUAAAAAAAAACAAUUAUAUAUGAGUGUCCUCUCCCCUGAAACUAAGGUAGACAUCAUAAUUAAUUCCCUGUGGCUGGGCGGUGGUUAUGGUGGAAGGAGUAGAUGGGGAUGGAGAAAUAUGACGGAUUCGUAUGAUGAAUCUCCAGAUAUAAGCAAACAAAAAGAUAGAGAGAAACAAGAAAAACAUCGCCAUUGUUUUGUGGAGAAACAGUCGAAGAAACAAGAGUAAUUAGACUCUGGUGGUAAGGUAGGUCUGGAGGGAGAGAACGGAAGGAACUCAAGGAAAAAAGAUGAGGCUGAUUUUGAAUGAGUAGCUUAGGCUUUACGUGUUUAAGAACCUGCCUUAGGCAUAUGUAUAAUUUAUAAUAAUCAAAUCCAAGAAUUUUCUUAGAACAUUACAAGAUUGCACAUUGUUGAUUUCCU
This 5222-nucleotide long non-coding RNA is filed under the name Populus tremula. RNAcentral describes it as "long non-coding RNA (PTRE_LNC001619)". Lineage: Eukaryota; Viridiplantae; Streptophyta; Magnoliopsida; Malpighiales; Salicaceae. The record is from RNAcentral.